This 59-nucleotide ribosomal RNA is filed under the name Lactarius rufus. RNAcentral describes it as "partial 28S ribosomal RNA". The record is from RNAcentral. Lineage: Eukaryota; Fungi; Basidiomycota; Agaricomycetes; Russulales; Russulaceae.
UUGACCUCAAAUCGGGUGAGACUACCCGCUGAACUUAAGCAUAUCAAUAGCCGGAAGAA